GAACGAGCCGGGCUGGGAGAGAGCGAGAGCGAGAUUGAGGAAGAGGAGGAGGGAGAGAGUUUUGGUGUUGGCAGCCCUUGGGUGCUGGGCCCGUGGGCCGCCGCCCCUCUUCGGCAAUGCCUGAUCUGGGCCCCUCUCCUGUUCUCUACCCCGGGACCCCCUGCGUCACAUGAGCAGUGAGCGCCCCGGUGGGCAACGGGAGAUUUCCGAGCUGUCACCCAGCCCGCAUACGGACCUCCUGAGCUUUAGCCUGGCUCACCCAAUGGCACUUCACCUGCUUUCUGGGGCUUUUUUAUCCCACCACCCUGGUUCCCACCACCCUGCAAAGCGUCCAAGCAGGGGACACGUAACAGUCCUCCCCAAGGACAACACCUCUCUACAGAAACUUGACCUGUGGCUUCUGGACUGUUGGCUCCAGGAGGGUGGAGAGGCCGCACACUGAGCAGGGGCUCUGUGAAGGCUCACAGAUGAACGAAGGCACAGAACACUCUAGCAAACACGCGUCCUUUUUACAGAGGAGGAAACUGAGGCAGGACUGGAGUCCAUCACGAAGGACACUAGGCGCAGGGUCCUGGGGAGUUUCAUGCUGCCCCUCCCUGGUAAAGUGUCCCCUGGAGUGUGCCCAGGGACUGGGUCCAAAGGCUGUUCCAGAGUUUGAGUUCUUGGGUCCCACUUCCCUUAUCUCCUGGGCUUAUCUCCUGGGGUCCAGAGAGAAGAGCCACCAGCCUAUGGUCACACAGCCAUGGCUCCUGAGGCCCCAAGCCUGCAGUCUGUGCCACCUUUUCCCCCUGCCGUCCUCCCCUGCUCCCAGGACAUUCUCAGAAUAUUCUGGACCUCAGGAUUUCUGAGGGACGGUUUCCUGUGCCCCCUGCUCAACUUUUCCUAUGCCUCCGGGCCAGCUCGUGGGGAUGCCUCCUCCAGGAAGCCUGCUGU
Molecule: long non-coding RNA, 933 nt
Organism: Mustela erminea (ermine)
Lineage: Eukaryota; Metazoa; Chordata; Mammalia; Carnivora; Mustelidae
Exons: 2
Source: RefSeq, a predicted model, not a curated record